UACGUAGGGUGCAAGCGUUAAUCGGAAUUACUGGGCGUAAAGCGUGCGCAGGCGGUUAUGUAAGACAGGUGUGAAAUCCCCGGGCUUAACCUGGGAACUGCAUUUGUGACUGCAUAGCUAGAGUACGGCAGAGGGGGAUGGAAUUCCGCGUGUAGCAGUGAAAUGCGUAGAUAUGCGGAGGAACACCGGUGGCGAAGGCGCACAUCUGGCCCAAUACUGACGCUAAAGCGCGAAAGCUAGGGGAGCAAACGGG
Molecule: ribosomal RNA, 253 nt
Filed under: uncultured bacterium
Lineage: Bacteria
Description: partial 16S ribosomal RNA
Rfam family: Bacterial small subunit ribosomal RNA
Source: RNAcentral